UAUCUGUUCUUAUCAGUUUAAUAUCUGAUAUCUUCUUGAUGUAAGAACUUUAUAUUAAAUGGACUUUUGCAACAGGGAGAUGGAAUAGGAGCUUGCUCCAUCCACUCCAUGCAUCAAUCUGGUAUUGCAGUACUUCCAGGUAUGGUGU
Molecule: small nuclear RNA, 148 nt
Filed under: Chrysemys picta bellii (western painted turtle)
Lineage: Eukaryota; Metazoa; Chordata; Testudines; Emydidae
Description: U2 spliceosomal RNA (ENSCPBG00000006892.1)
Rfam family: U2 spliceosomal RNA
About the family: U2 is a small nuclear RNA (snRNA) component of the spliceosome (involved in pre-mRNA splicing). Complementary binding between U2 snRNA (in an area lying towards the 5' end but 3' to hairpin I) and the branchpoint sequence (BPS) of the intron results the bulging out of an unpaired adenosine, on the BPS, which initiates a nucleophilic attack at the intronic 5' splice site, thus starting the first of two transesterification reactions that mediate splicing.
Source: RNAcentral